AGUGUAGAUGAAGUAGGCGGAAUUUGUGGUGUAGCGGUGAAAUGCAUAGAUAUCACGAGGAACUCCGAUUGCGCAGCCAGCUUACUAAACUACUACUGACGCUCAGGCACGAAGGCGUGGGGAUCACACAGGAUUAGAUACCCUGGUAGUCCACGCAGUAAACGAUGAUUACUAGCUGUUUGCGAUACAAUGUAAGCGGCUGAGCGAAAGCGUUAAGUAAUCCACCUGGGGAGUACGUUCGCAAGAAUGAAACUCAAAGGAAUUGACGGGGGCCCGCACAAGCGGAGGAACAUGUGGUUUAAUUCGAUGAUACGCGAGGAACCUUACCCGGGCUUGAAAUGCAUCUGACCGGCCUUGAAAGAGGCUUUCCCUUCGGGGCAGAUGUGUAGGUGCUGCAUGGUUGUCGUCAGCUCGUGCCGUGAGGUGUCGGCUUAAGUGCCAUAACGAGCGCAACCCUCAUCAUUAGUUACCAUCAGGUCAAGCUGGGGACUCUAAUGAGACUGCCAUCGUAAGAUGUGAGGAAGGUGGGGAUGACGUCAAAUCAGCACGGCCCUUACGUCCGGGGCGACACACGUGUUACAAUGGGUGGUACAAAGGGCAGCUACAUGGCGACAUGAUGCUAAUCUCCAAAACCACUCUCAGUUCGGAUCGGAGUCUGCAACUCGACUCCGUGAAGCUGGAUUCGCUAGUAAUCGCGCAUCAGCCACGGCGCGGUGAAUACGUUCCNCGGGCCUUGUACACACCGCCCGUC
RNAcentral lists this ribosomal RNA (751 nucleotides) under uncultured bacterium. Its description in RNAcentral is "bacterial SSU rRNA". It matches the Rfam family "Bacterial small subunit ribosomal RNA", at positions 645 to 1398 of the family's 1533-position model. The record is from RNAcentral.